GACGAACGCUGGCGGCGUGCUUAACACAUGCAAGUCGAACGGAAAGGCCCUGCUUUUGUGGGGUGCUCGAGUGGCGAACGGGUGAGUAACACGUGAGUAACCUGCCCUUGACUUUGGGAUAACUUCAGGAAACUGGGGCUAAUACCGGAUAGGAGCUCCUGCUGCAUGGUGGGGGUUGGAAAGUUUCGGCGGUUGGGGAUGGACUCGCGGCUUAUCAGCUUGUUGGUGGGGUAGUGGCUUACCAAGGCUUUGACGGGUAGCCGGCCUGAGAGGGUGACCGGCCACAUUGGGACUGAGAGACGGCCCAGACUCCUACGGGAGGCAGCAGUGGGGAAUAUUGCACAACGGGCGGAAGCCUGAUGCAGCAACGCCGCGUGCGGGAUGACGGCCUUCGGGUUGUAAACCGCUGUCGCCUGUGACGAAGCGUGAGUGACGGUAAUGGGUAAAGAAGCACCGGCUAACUACGUG
Molecule: ribosomal RNA, 468 nt
Filed under: uncultured bacterium
Lineage: Bacteria
Description: partial 16S ribosomal RNA
Rfam family: Bacterial small subunit ribosomal RNA
Source: RNAcentral